RNAcentral lists this ribosomal RNA (763 nucleotides) under Phyllosticta sp. Its description in RNAcentral is "partial large subunit ribosomal RNA". It matches the Rfam family "Eukaryotic large subunit ribosomal RNA", at positions 87 to 866 of the family's 3401-position model. Lineage: Eukaryota; Fungi; Ascomycota; Dothideomycetes; Botryosphaeriales; Phyllostictaceae. The record is from RNAcentral.
CGGCGAGUGAAGCGGCAAUAGCUCAAAUUUGAAAGCUGGCGUCUUCGACGUCCGCGUUGUAAUUUGUAGAGGAUGCUUCGGCGAAGACUCCUGCCUAAGUCCCCUGGAACGGGGCGUCAUAGAGGGUGAGAAUCCCGUAUGUGGCGGGCAGUCUAAGCCAUGUGAAGCUCCUUCGACGAGUCGAGUUGUUUGGGAAUGCAGCUCUAAAUGGGAGGUAAAUUUCUUCUAAAGCUAAAUAUUGGCCAGAGACCGAUAGCGCACAAGUAGAGUGAUCGAAAGAUGAAAAGCACUUUGGAAAGAGAGUUAAAAAGUACGUGAAAUUGUUGAAAGGGAAGCGCUUGCAACCAGACUCGCUCGUAGUUGCUCAGCCGGCCUCUUGGCCGGUGUACUCUUCUGCGAUCGGGCCAGCAUCAGUUCGGGCGGCCGGAUAAAGGCGUCGGGAAUGUAGCACCCUUCGGGGUGUGUUAUAGCCCGGCGCGGAAUGCGGCCAGCCUGGACUGAGGAUCUCGCUUCGGCAAGGAUGCUGGCGUAAUGGUUGUAAGCGGCCCGUCUUGAAACACGGACCAAGGAGUCUAACAUCUAUGCGAGUGUUUGGGUGUCAAACCCAUGCGCGUAAUGAAAGUGAACGGAGGUGGGAACCCUUCACGGGGUGCACCAUCGACCGAUCCUGAUGUCUUCGGAUGGAUUUGAGUAAGAGCAUAGCUGUUGGGACCCGAAAGAUGGUGAACUAUGCCUGAAUAGGGUGAAGCCAGAGGAAACUCUG